CCUACGGGUGGCUGCAGUAGGGAAUAUUGGACAAUGGGUGCAAGCCUGAUCCAGCCAUGCCGCGUGCAGGAAGAAGGCUUUCUGAGUUGUAAACUGCUUUUGCCAGGGGAUAAAAAGGCGAUGCGUCGCAAAUUGAAGGUACCUGGUGAAUAAGCCACGGCUAACUACGUGCCAGCAGCCGCGGUAAUACGUAGGUGGCAAGCGUUGUCCGGAUUUAUUGGGUUUAAAGGGUGCGUAGGCGGUUCUUUAAGUCAGUGGUGAAAUACUUCAGCUUA
This 275-nucleotide ribosomal RNA is filed under the name uncultured bacterium. Its description in RNAcentral is "partial 16S ribosomal RNA". It matches the Rfam family "Bacterial small subunit ribosomal RNA", at positions 338 to 611 of the family's 1533-position model. The record is from RNAcentral.